RNAcentral lists this transfer RNA (84 nucleotides) under Mariniblastus sp. RNAcentral's name for it is "tRNA-Leu". It matches the Rfam family "tRNA". From Rfam's summary of the family: Transfer RNA (tRNA) molecules are approximately 80 nucleotides in length. Lineage: Bacteria; Pseudomonadati; Planctomycetota; Planctomycetia; Pirellulales; Pirellulaceae. The record is from RNAcentral.
GGGGAUGUGGCGGAACUGGCAGACGCGCUAGAUUUAGGAUCUAGUGUCCUUACGGACGUGCAGGUUCAAUUCCUGUCAUCCCCA